AUACGGAGGGUGCGAGCGUUAUCCGGAAUCACUGGGUUUAAAGGGUGCGUAGGCGGGGAAUUAAGUCAGUGGUGAAAGCCUGUCGCUUAACGAUAGAAUUGCCAUUGAUACUGAUUUUCUUGAAUUGGGUUGAGGUUAGCGGAAUGUGACAUGUAGCGGUGAAAUGCAUAGAUAUGUCAUGGAACACCAAUUGCGAAGGCAGCUAACUGGGCCUUGAUUGACGCUGAGGCACGAAAGCGUGGGUAGCGAACAGGAUUAGAUACCCUGGUAGUCCACGCCCUAAACGAUGCUAACUCGAUGUUUGGGCGCAAGCUUGAGCAUCCAAGGGAAACCGAUAAGUUAGCCACCUGGGGAGUACGUCCGCAAGGAUGAA
Molecule: ribosomal RNA, 373 nt
Filed under: uncultured bacterium
Lineage: Bacteria
Description: bacterial SSU rRNA
Rfam family: Bacterial small subunit ribosomal RNA
Source: RNAcentral